UACGGGGGGGGCAAGCGUUGUUCGGAAUUAUUGGGCGUAAAGAGCUCGUAGGCGGCUUGUCACGUCGAUUGUGAAAGCCCGAGGCUUAACCUCGGGUCUGCAGUCGAUACGGGCUAGCUAGAGUGUGGUAGGGGAGAUCGGAAUUCCUGGUGUAGCGGUGAAAUGCGCAGAUAUCAGGAGGAACACCGGUGGCGAAGGCGGAUCUCUGGGCCAUUACUGACGCUGAGGAGCGAAAGCGUGGGGAGCGAACAGG
Molecule: ribosomal RNA, 253 nt
Filed under: uncultured bacterium
Lineage: Bacteria
Description: partial 16S ribosomal RNA
Rfam family: Bacterial small subunit ribosomal RNA
Source: RNAcentral